Batrachochytrium dendrobatidis JEL423 is the source of this 93-nucleotide transfer RNA. It matches the Rfam family "tRNA". Rfam says of the family: Transfer RNA (tRNA) molecules are approximately 80 nucleotides in length. NCBI's taxonomy places the organism in Eukaryota, Fungi, Chytridiomycota, Chytridiomycetes, Rhizophydiales. The record is from Rfam.
GCCCGGCUGGCGCAAUGGAUAGCGCAUCCGCCUCCUAUGUUUAUUCAUUCGGCUGAAAGUGGAAGGUUGCAGGUUCGAGUCCUGCGUUGGGCG